RNAcentral lists this ribosomal RNA (458 nucleotides) under uncultured bacterium. Its description in RNAcentral is "partial 16S ribosomal RNA". It matches the Rfam family "Bacterial small subunit ribosomal RNA", at positions 338 to 795 of the family's 1533-position model. The record is from RNAcentral.
CCUACGGGUGGCAGCAGUGAGGAAUAUUGGUCAAUGGGCGAGAGCCUGAACCAGCCAAGUCGCGUGAGGGAGUACUGCCCUAUGGGUUGUAAACCUCUUUUGUCGGGGAGCAAAAGCCGGACGUGUCCGGCUGUGAGAGUACCCGAAGAAAAAGCAUCGGCUAACUCCAUGCCAGCAGCCGCGGUAAUACGGAGGAUGCGAGCGUUAUCCGGAUUUAUUGGGUUUAAAGGGUGCGCAGGCGGAUUUUUAAGUCAGCGGUAAAAUCGUGGGGCUCAACCCCAUCCAGCCGUUGAAACUGGGGAUCUAGAGUGUGCGAGAGGUAUGCGGAAUGCGUGGUGUAGCGGUGAAAUGCAUAGAUAUCACGCAGAACCCCGAUUGCGAAGGCAGCAUACCGGUGCACAACUGACGCUCAGGCACGAAAGCGUGGGUAUCGAACAGGAUUAGAUACCCCUGUAGUC